Long non-coding RNA from Homo sapiens (human), 1048 nucleotides. Ensembl annotates it as CFAP100 divergent transcript. Its record names the gene CFAP100-DT. The record is from Ensembl. NCBI's taxonomy places the organism in Eukaryota, Metazoa, Chordata, Mammalia, Primates, Hominidae.
GAGGGCUGGGCCUGCGGGCCGCGGGACAGGGAGGGCGCGGGGCCGGGCUGCUGGGUCCGAGCUCUGGGCACGAUGUCCUCCCUGACGCCGCCAGGACAGCGCCUGGCCCAGGCCUGGGCCUGGUGAACGCGGGUUUCUUCCUCUGAGGUUCAACACUCCGCACUUGGGUUGGCUCCUUUCAUCCUGAUUGGUUUAUUCGCCACGUGCCAAGCACUGAAGAGGGCGUGCAGGAUGGAUACUUUUGGAGCAAAAAUAGCCCUGCUUCUUUCCUGGGGAGGGAUCGCACUUUCUAGAGGGGCGGUUUUCAAAGUAUGGUCUCAGGACUAGCAGCAUCGAAAAUGCUGGGAACUCGUUAGAAAAGCAAGUUUUCAAUCCUCGCCCCAGAAUCAGAAACUCGGGGUGGAGCCCAGCAAUGUGUGUCCUGACAAGUCCACGCGCGACCCCAGUGCUGGCUAGGGUUGCAAAGCCACUGCUCUACGGAGCGAGCGAGAUCCAUCAUAGUGGGACAAGCGAGAGGAUGAGGCCAUACAGACCAGGGCAAGUUUUGAGCGCGCAGAUCCACCAGCUGCUUGAAGCCAGGGGCACCAGGAUGUCUGGUCCCCCAGCUCAGGGAUCCUGUCUCCCCACAAAAAGCAGCAGCAGAAGACCCCUCUUUGAGUUCUGAACAUGUUCCUAGAUUUUCCCAGUAUCUAUGGGGAUUGAGAGAUUGAUAAAGGCUGCUUGGAGCUGAAAGCACAGUUUUAGCAAACCACAAGAAGCACUUCAUAAACUGGUGACUCAAGUAGAAAAGUACUGUUCCACGCACUUGACACCAAUCCACCCAUUUCACCUGCAUGAUCACCCUGCCUUUGCAUGAGUUGCCGGUGUGGACAGAGCAGGGACACAGUGAGACAGCGGAUUCCAGCUUUGCUCUUACCUAGAACACACUGCCUCUCACCAGGAAUCGUCCUUCCAUUUUAUGCAGUUAUCCCAGACAAUGAUGCACAAGCUUUGGGAAAAAAACCCCACAAGUCCAAAGGUGUACUUCAUAAUAAAGGCAAGUUAUCUG